This 170-nucleotide ribosomal RNA is filed under the name Candidatus Nomurabacteria bacterium. RNAcentral's name for it is "partial 16S ribosomal RNA". It matches the Rfam family "Bacterial small subunit ribosomal RNA", at positions 1 to 183 of the family's 1533-position model. The record is from RNAcentral. Lineage: Bacteria; Candidatus Nomuraibacteriota.
UUUUAGUUAGAGUUUGAUCCUAGCUCAGGAUGAACGCUGGCGGCGUGGAUAAGGCAUGCAAGUCACGGGGGCCGCAAGGCAACCGGCGAACGAGUCAGUAACACCUUGGUACAUACCUCGAAGUAGGGCAUAGCCCGCCGAAAGGCGGGGUAAUUCGCUAUAAUCCCGCA